Molecule: non-coding RNA, 632 nt
Organism: Lupinus albus (white lupine)
Lineage: Eukaryota; Viridiplantae; Streptophyta; Magnoliopsida; Fabales; Fabaceae
Source: the annotation of a GenBank genome assembly
UCAAAACAUGAGAAACCAUGGAAACUCAUCUUUUAGAGUUAUGGUUCCUUUUAUGUUGUUUUUAUCUUGUAAACUCUUAGUUUAGAGUUGUUAUUUGAUGAAUGGAAAGUUUUAUGGGUUAUUCAUGAAAAACCCCAAAAACCCCCCAAAAUGAGAAUACGAGUAUAAAGAGAAAGAGAUGAAAUGUUAGAUGUGGAUAAUGGCUUUGAUGUUGUUAUAUGAGAUGAACAUAGUAAGUUGUUUAUGUGAUAUUUGGAAUAAAUGACUAACAUUGUUGUUAUUGGUGGAAAUGAGGAAAGAUCCUAAGGUUGGAGGAAAUCGCGGAGGAGACUUUUAAAGUUACUCGGAACCGAUCCCCAACGCUCACCAAGGUAAGGGAUAAGUGGCUCUAAUUCAUACUCACUUAUGUGAAUGAGGUAUGUGAAAGAGGUAACGUGUUGGUAAGUUUAUGGUUGUUACCCUACCCGAGGAGGUAGUGGUUUAUCAUUGUGUCCUACCCGGAGUGGUAGUGAACUAUUUAUCGUGUCCUACCCUGAGUGGUAGUGAACUGUUUAUUGUGUCCUACCCGGAGUGGUAGCGGACUGUUAUGGUGUCCUACCCGGAGUGGUAGUGGACUGUUAUUGUUAUCCUAC